RNAcentral lists this ribosomal RNA (253 nucleotides) under uncultured bacterium. Its description in RNAcentral is "partial 16S ribosomal RNA". It matches the Rfam family "Bacterial small subunit ribosomal RNA", at positions 524 to 776 of the family's 1533-position model. The record is from RNAcentral.
UACGUAGGGUCCGAGCGUUGUCCGGAAUUAUUGGGCGUAAAGGGCUCGUAGGCGGUCCGUCGCGUCGGGAGUGAAAACUCGGAGCUUAACUCCGAGCCUGCUUCCGAUACGGGCAGACUCGAGUGUGGUAGGGGAGACUGGAACUCCUGGUGUAGCGGUGAAAUGCGCAGAUAUCAGGAGGAACACCGGUGGCGAAGGCGCACAUCUGGCCCGAUACUGACGCUGAGGCGCGAAAGCUAGGGGAGCAAACGGG